This 254-nucleotide ribosomal RNA is filed under the name uncultured bacterium. RNAcentral describes it as "partial 16S ribosomal RNA". It matches the Rfam family "Bacterial small subunit ribosomal RNA", at positions 524 to 776 of the family's 1533-position model. The record is from RNAcentral.
GACGAACCGUCCAAACGUUAUUCGGAAUCACUGGGCUUAAAGGGCGCGUAGGCGGCCGAGCGGGUCGCGGGUGAAAUCCUCCAGCCUAACUGGAGAACUGCCCUCGAUACCACUGCGGCUCGAGGAAGGAAGGGGCAAUCGGAACUGUCGGUGGAGCGGUGAAAUGCGUUGAUAUCGACAGGAACGCCGGUGGCGAAAGCGGAUUGCUGGUCCUUUUCUGACGCUGAGGCGCGAAAGCCAGGGGAGCAAACGGG